UUAGCUUGUUUUAAAAAAAAUCUCGCCGCCAUGUAUGACAAGUGUUACUGCAAGAAAUUCAUCAGCCUUCUACAGAUACUUCCAGUUUUGCUGUAAUGAUCUGCAGAAGAGAACUGCCAUCACUUUCUCACAUCCCAAGGUGUUGCAGGAACUCAGAGAGAGGGGAGAGUGGCUGAAACGCUUAAUUACCGGAGGCGAAGGAGGGGCGCGCGGGGGACCGAAGGAGAGGGGAGUGAAGAAGGAAGGUCCUUUACCAGGCUUGUACCUGGAGAAAGCUUUGAAUCGCUUCUCUGCUAUAUUUGGAAAAGGUAUGCUUGCUUUUUAAAAAAAUGCCUUUAGGGCAAAGUGAUACCCUUGUGUAAUAAUUAACUCAGACAAUAAAAAUAAUUGGAAAAUCA
Long non-coding RNA from Homo sapiens (human), 398 nucleotides. The record is from Ensembl. NCBI's taxonomy places the organism in Eukaryota, Metazoa, Chordata, Mammalia, Primates, Hominidae.